Long non-coding RNA from Prunus dulcis (almond), 2391 nucleotides. RefSeq lists it as uncharacterized. The transcript is spliced from 11 exons. The record is from RefSeq and is a predicted model, not a curated record. Lineage: Eukaryota; Viridiplantae; Streptophyta; Magnoliopsida; Rosales; Rosaceae.
CCCGCCUAGGACGAUUUUUCAAACAUUGCGAUUGACUGAAAGUUUGAAACCUGAAAUUGAAAAAAUUUAGCUGCAAAUUUGAGCUUGAGAUUGGGAAGCUGAAGCAGUGAAGCAUAAGUCAGGUCCAUAGAAGAGCAAAUAUGUUGGUGCAUGCAUUCUAUGGUGUUAUCUUGAACUUUCUAUCUUUCACAUUCUCAUCUCUUAACUAUUAAGAUUUGGUGAACAACUUUGGACAGAUUUGUCUGAAGGCAGAUGAAAGAGAUGUAUACGAGUUCUUCUCAAGGGCUGGCAAGGUCCGCGAUGUACGCCUCAUUAUGGAUCGCAAUUCAAGAGGUUCUAAGGGAGUUGGGUAUAUUGAGUUUUAUGAUGCAAUGUCGGUACCAAUGGCGAUACCCCUUUCUGGUCAGCCUCUUCUUGGUCAACCAGUGAUGGUGAAGCCAUCAGAGGCUGAGAAGAAUCUGGUUCAAUCAACAUCUGUGGUUAGCGGACCAGGUGGGAUGAUAGGCCCAUAUUCUGGCGGAGCUAGAAAGCUGUAUGUUGGAAAUCUCCAUACCAAUAUAAAAGAAGAUGAUCUCUGCUAGGUUUUUGGAGCAUUUGGUCCUGUAGAACUGGUUCAGUUACGUGUUUUGACGAAACUAACAACUGCAAAGGUUUUGGAUUUGUGCAGUUCUCACGUCUUGAAGAUGCUAGAAAUGCACUGAGUUUGAAUGGAAAAUUGGAGAUUGCAGGUCGACUAAUUAAGGUGUCAGCUGUUACAGACCAAGCUGGAAUGCAAGAUCUUGGAGCAAAUGCUGGUGAUUUUGAUGACGAUGAAGGUGGUGGCUUGAGGGAAUGUAUAAACAGACAUGGAGAUUACCACUGAUUCUUCUGUUUCUAGUUUAUGAGAUGUGGUGGCUGCAAGCACAUGCUUCUCAAGUGCUGUUGUUCACUCCUUCAAAGAGAAGACAGAUGGAAUAUAGGCAGCCAACUGAUCUUGCUGCCCUGAUAAACGAAAAUCAGGGAAAGGAAAAAAAAAGAAAAAAAAAAGGCCAGUAUAGCCUACCUUUUAAACAUAGAGUACAGCCAAACGGCUAUACGAUUUAAAUAAAAAGGCUAUACUUUUUAUUACAAAUAAAAAGGCCAAAAAUGGCUAUACGAGGUUUACAUUUCCCUUCCCUCGCUGCCUGGCUCGCUUCACUGAAUCACUUCCCAUCAAAGUCUUCAAGUUCAAGGCCAAAAAAGAGGUGGCCAAUUCCUCAUUUGAGCUCUCAUGGCGUCUCCCAAAAAAUCAAAGAAAAGCAAGAAAGAUAGGAAAUUGAAGAAAAACUUAAGCUUGGUUCCAGUCGAGCCCAAAGCCGCAAACUCUGAGUGGUGGGAUAGUUCUUCAACCCAAGGCACACAGGUUGGAGAGGAGUUGAUGAAGGCAUCGCUGUAGUUGGGACUAGCAUGAUUUAAAAGCUACAAUGGCUGGUUGCAUGUCAACCCCAUCCAAAACAAUUAAAUCACAGAAAAAACAGUCAGCGGGUCAUCAAAAACGCCAUAGAAAGGCAACCUGCUCCGCUUCAGAUGAUACCAAGAAAAGAAAUACAAGUUUGAAGAAAAUAAAUAGUGAUGCAGGAGCUCGCGUGAGUGACUAUGUUGUCAGUGAGUUUGUUCAUGUGGACUUUGAGAAUGGUGCAACAACUACUCACAGAAGUUCUAAGGUUUCUAAUUGAACAUUCCAUCUCACCUAGCUGCAAUGGCACCACAGUCAAUAUGAUUCGAAUGUAAUUUGCCAAGAGGGAGCUUGGUUGGACUCGGUGAGUAUUCUGGAGUCUGACUCAGAUGAUGACUUUAUCCGUAUACAUGGAGCAAGCAAUCCAGUUGAGAGUAUCUCAAGUGGCCAAGUACUUCAGUACGAAAGAUCUGCUCGCUUUGGUGAUAAUGGGUGUAAGUAUGAAGAAUACCAAAGCUAUAUGAAAAUAGAUGGAGGUAAAUCGGAUAAAAUCACAGGCAAAGAUGAGCGCAGGGAAUCAAAUUGGUUUUCGCUUAUUAGUACCCAGGGCUAUGAGCUUUCUUGCUUAGGGAAGGCUGAUGAAGUUUGCAGUAAGAGGAAGAAUAUAUUAGAUCACUCUUAUGGAAGCUUUAAAGGACUUAUAGAGGAUGGACGUGAUUCUAAUGAAAAAAUUCAAGACAAUGCCUGAAAUCCAGCUUAUCUCGAUUGGUACCUUCUGUAAGUUUCAACAAUAAGAUUCUAAGUGCACAGAGUUUGGUUCUGCAGUCCCAGAGAAAGCCAUCAGCCGUUUUCAGACUUUCUUUUAAAAGGAGAUCCUGUGAUGCAGAAGAAACCAUUGAACAAUGUCAAUCAAAAAGGUUUCUGUAUCAGCCUAGACCAGGAUAUAUCAUUCCAUGUUGUAAAGUAGAGAAGCCGAC